Molecule: non-coding RNA, 148 nt
Organism: Pan troglodytes (chimpanzee)
Lineage: Eukaryota; Metazoa; Chordata; Mammalia; Primates; Hominidae
Rfam family: Metazoan signal recognition particle RNA
About the family: The signal recognition particle (SRP) is a universally conserved ribonucleoprotein. It is involved in the co-translational targeting of proteins to membranes.
Source: Rfam
GCUGGGCAUAGUGGCACAUGCUUGUAGUCCCAGGUACUUGGGAGGCUGAGGCAGGAGGAUUGCUUAAGCCCUGGAGUUCAAGGCUGCAGUGAGCUAUGAUUGCACCACUGUGCUCUAGCCUGGGCAACAAAGCAAGACCCUGUCUCAA